CGCAAUAAGUCCCGCAGCAAACGACGCCGUAAACACCACCACCGCUUGUCAGAUUCCUCUGAUUCUUACUCCUCCAGUUCAUCGGACAGUGAGCAUCAAACAUCUAAUCCUUCAAAGAGGCACAAGAAAAAUGACAGAACAAAGAAGAGCAAGGAAAAGGGAAAGGACGAAGCAAGAGUCAUCACCAUAACGCCAGAAAGCACAAAAGUUAAAGAGGUUAGGCGCUGUUUAUUCAUAUAGCUUUAUUUUCACAAGAUUGUUAGAUUAAAAUAACUUCUUUUAGGGGGAAAACUUUCAAUGUUUCAAUACAUGCAUGCCUCAAAGAGUAAAACAAUUAAAAACCCUGCUCUUGUCAUAUGAAAUGACUUUUUUUGGGUCUAUU
Jatropha curcas is the source of this 382-nucleotide non-coding RNA. NCBI's taxonomy places the organism in Eukaryota, Viridiplantae, Streptophyta, Magnoliopsida, Malpighiales, Euphorbiaceae. The record is from RefSeq and is a predicted model, not a curated record.